RNAcentral lists this ribosomal RNA (495 nucleotides) under uncultured bacterium. RNAcentral's name for it is "partial 16S ribosomal RNA". It matches the Rfam family "Bacterial small subunit ribosomal RNA", at positions 28 to 507 of the family's 1533-position model. The record is from RNAcentral.
GACGAACGCUGGCGGCGUGCCUAAUACAUGCAAGUAGAACGCUGAAGGAGGAGCUUGCUUCUCUGGAUGAGUUGCGAACGGGUGAGUAACGCGUAGGUAACCUGCCUGGUAGCGGGGGAUAACUAUUGGAAACGAUAGCUAAUACCGCAUAAUAGUAGAUGUUGCAUGACAUUUGCUUAAAAGGUGCAAUUGCAUCACUACCAGAUGGACCUGCGUUGUAUUAGCUAGUUGGUGGGGUAACGGCUCACCAAGGCGACGAUACAUAGCCGACCUGAGAGGGUGAUCUGCCACACUGGGACUGAGACACGGCCCAGACUCCUACGGGAGGCAGCAGUAGGGAAUCUUCGGCAAUGGACGGAAGUCUGACCGAGCAACGCCGCGUGAGUGAAGAAGGUUUUCGGAUCGUAAAGCUCUGUUGUAAGAGAAGAACGAGUGUGAGAGUGGAAAGGUCACACUGUGACGGUAGCUUACCAGAAAGGGACGGCUAACUACGUG